This 22-nucleotide non-coding RNA is filed under the name Arabidopsis thaliana (thale cress). The record is from RNAcentral. Lineage: Eukaryota; Viridiplantae; Streptophyta; Magnoliopsida; Brassicales; Brassicaceae.
UGGAGCAUUUUGUGAUGAACGC